RNAcentral lists this ribosomal RNA (392 nucleotides) under uncultured bacterium. RNAcentral's name for it is "bacterial SSU rRNA". It matches the Rfam family "Bacterial small subunit ribosomal RNA", at positions 28 to 420 of the family's 1533-position model. The record is from RNAcentral.
GACGAACGCUGGCGGCGUGCUUAACACAUGCAAGUCGAGCGAGGCCCAUUCUUCGGGGUGGUGCCCUAGCGGCGAACGGGUGAGUAACACGUGGGCAACCUGCCCUCAGCUCUGGGAUAACUCCAAGAAAUUGGUGCUAAUACCGGAUGUGACCGCUGACCGCAUGGUCUGGUGGUGGAAAGAACUAUCGGCUGAGGAUGGGCCCGCGGCCUAUCAGCUUGUUGGUGGGGCACGGCCCACCAAGGCGACGACGGGUAGCCGGCCUGAGAGGGUGACCGGCCACACUGGGACUGAGACACGGCCCAGACUCCUACGGGAGGCAGCAGUGGGGAAUAUUGCGCAAUGGGCGAAAGCCUGACGCAGCGACGCCGCGUGAGGGAUGACGGCCUCGG